UGGUCCUUCUCUUUUUUGAGUUGUACACCAUCAUAGAACGACAAGUGUUCGGGAUGUGAGCUUAUGGUAGCAAUUAUUAUCCUAACUAGUUUAUAAUACGUAGUUAUAAAAUUAAAUAAAUUUUUAUAUUGAAAAAUCAAAAUUAUUAAUCAAUAUUUUAAAUAACUAUUACUUAAGGGAUAUUUUUUUAGUUAUAUAAAUUUUUUAUCGUUGAUUUAAAUAAUUACGUAAAGUUAUAUUACCUUAUAAUAUGUAUUAAUUUUAUUUUAUUUUUUAAUUUAAUGUUAUUAAUUUAAUAUAAGUAGAGUGAGAAAAUUUGAAAUUUGAAAUUUAAAAUAGAGAAUCAAUUAUUAAUUUAAUUUAAUUAGAGUGAGCAAUUUAAAAUUUGAGAUUUAAAAUGGAUAAUUAAUAUGUUGACAAGUGGGAUAAUAGUUGUCAAUUAAUAUUAAUGAGGAGUUAUAAUACUAUGACACUUGUCAAUAAGAGAAUAAAACUAUUUUUUUAUUAGAAUAGGGAGAUGUACGUUUUGAGAAACUAAAACGGGUUGCUUUAUUUUAAAUAAAUAGGGUAUUUUUUACUCCAUGGUUGCAAUCAUCUCUAUUCAGGUCUAUGGAAGUGUUUUCCUCACCCCCACAUCGAUGGUUGAUCUGAUCCGUGGUUUGCCCCAACAUAUGAUUUUAUUGGUUCAUCAAGGUCGGUCAUCGAGGUGAUAGUUCUUGCAGAGAGCCUUGAGGGGAAUAGUUCAGUCCUUUUCCUUUUUAGGGAAGAUCUACUAAGGCAGGGGUUAUGUUCUUCUGGUGUACUGUUUGGGAUUGGGCUAUGAGGUCUAUUAGAAAAAAGGGCCCAAAACAGCCGGUCAACACUAAAUAAAUAUUGUUCCAUCAAUUCUUAAUUUCUUUUUGCAAAUAAUAAAUAUGUAAUAGUAGGUUGAUUGUAAACCCCGGUAAUUUGUUGAAAUCAAUGAAAAUAAUUUAAUGAACCGACAUACCACUUUAAAUAGAGUACCAACAACUAGUAUUUAUCCGGUAAAUAAAUAUUAUUCCAUCAAUUCGUAAUUUCUUUUUGCGAAUAACAAAAAUUUAGGAAGUCGUUGCCCACCAGGUCAUUCGAUUCCUUAUGCUCCCAUUUUUUUAGUGUGAUAUCCGAUUAUCAAUAAUUAGAGGAAUGGCUGCGUGUUGUGCAGAAACACUUAUAUAGAUGAAAUCUUUACAAACAUAUGUUUUCUUAAAUAUAACAAUGACUUUGUUUUUAAAUUUUAUAAUUAUUGUUAUACUAAGUUGAUGUAAUAUAUUUAUUAUUUUGAAUUACAUGAUAAUAUAUACAUCUAUUAAAAUUGCAUAAUCUUAAUCGUUUAAAUGACAUCUACUUGUGGGUUAGUUAUGAAUAAAAUUAAAUAUGAUAUAUGGUUUAAUGUUAUUUAUAGUUGUUAUUAUGGUUAAGUAAUUUUUAAAAUUUAUUUAUUAACAUUUUAAUUUUUAUCAUUGUAAUUAUUUAAAACAUCAAACAUUGUUUUUGUUUUUUAAAGGUAACAAUAUAACCAUUUAUAUAGUAUUAUUUUUACUAUUGUUAUUGUAAGUUAUUUAUUUAAAAACUAUUAAUGACUAUAAAAUUAUCUUUAGGAAAUAUUUUAGUGAGUUUGAGAUUACCAUUUACUUUUUGCAUUUAGCACUAUAUUUUAUCACUUUUAACUAUUUACAAAAUAUUUUUUAGGUUUUUGUAAGUUGAACUAAAAUUUAUAUUUAAGUUGACUUGUAAUAUUAUAUUUAAAUUAACAAUUUAAGUAUUUUAUCANUAAAUUUUUUAUCGUUGAUUUAAAUAAUUACGUAAAGUUAUAUUACCUUAUAAUAUGUAUUAAUUUUAUUUUAUUUUUUAAUUUAAUGUUAUUAAUUUAAUAUAAGUAGAGUGAGAAAAUUUGAAAUUUGAAAUUUAAAAUAGAGAAUCAAUUAUUAAUUUAAUUUAAUUAGAGUGAGCAAUUUAAAAUUUGAGAUUUAAAAUGGAUAAUUAAUAUGUUGACAAGUGGGAUAAUAGUUGUCAAUUAAUAUUAAUGAGGAGUUAUAAUACUAUGACACUUGUCAAUAAGAGAAUAAAACUAUUUUUUUAUUAGAAUAGGGAGAUGUACGUUUUGAGAAACUAAAACGGGUUGCUUUAUUUUAAAUAAAUAGGGUAUUUUUUACUCCAUGGUUGCAAUCAUCUCUAUUCAGGUCUAUGGAAGUGUUUUCCUCACCCCCACAUCGAUGGUUGAUCUGAUCCGUGGUUUGCCCCAACAUAUGAUUUUAUUGGUUCAUCAAGGUCGGUCAUCGAGGUGAUAGUUCUUGCAGAGAGCCUUGAGGGGAAUAGUUCAGUCCUUUUCCUUUUUAGGGAAGAUCUACUAAGGCAGGGGUUAUGUUCUUCUGGUGUACUGUUUGGGAUUGGGCUAUGAGGUCUAUUAGAAAAAAGGGCCCAAAACAGCCGGUCAACACUAAAUAAAUAUUGUU
This 2474-nucleotide long non-coding RNA is filed under the name Lactuca sativa (garden lettuce). RNAcentral's name for it is "long non-coding RNA (LSAT_LNC000232)". The record is from RNAcentral. Lineage: Eukaryota; Viridiplantae; Streptophyta; Magnoliopsida; Asterales; Asteraceae.